Molecule: ribosomal RNA, 253 nt
Filed under: uncultured bacterium
Lineage: Bacteria
Description: partial 16S ribosomal RNA
Rfam family: Bacterial small subunit ribosomal RNA
Source: RNAcentral
UACGAAGGGGGCUAGCGUCGCUCGGAAUCACUGGGCGUAAAGCGCACGUAGGCGGAUUGCUAAGUCAGGGGUGAAAUCCUGGAGCUCAACUCCAGAACUGCCUUUGAUACUGGUGAUCUUGAGUCCGGAAGAGGAGAGUGGAAUUUCCGGUGUAGCGGUGAAAUGCGUAGAUAUCGGAAGGAACAUCAGUGGCGAAAGCGACUUCCUGGACCAAUACUGACGCUCAUGUGCGAAAGCGUGGGGAGCAAACAGG